Coturnix japonica (Japanese quail) is the source of this 497-nucleotide non-coding RNA. NCBI's taxonomy places the organism in Eukaryota, Metazoa, Chordata, Aves, Galliformes, Phasianidae. The record is from RefSeq and is a predicted model, not a curated record.
GAAAUGUCGGUGAGAGGUGGAUGGUUGGCCUGGAUGAUCUUGGAGGUCUUUUCCAACCUUGGUGAUUCUGUGAUUCUAAGUGAGUGCUGCUUCCAGGUAACCGUUGUGAGGUCACAAGACCAGCAGCAAAGCCACAGUUAAACUACCAAGAGGCAGAUCGGCCCACAGAAGUCCUUUCAAAGCCAAGGUUUACCAUCCACCCUUUAUCCAACAACUACUAAAAGCCUUCACCUCCAAGAACAAACAUUAAGAUAUUCUGUUGGUCACUCAGCACUGAAGUCCGACAGCGGAAGAACUGCAUGACAUGGACCACAGCCCUGUGACAUUACAAGCAUGUAUUACAGCUGCCAGAUGGGCUCAGCUGACUCACGCUCAGGAUCACUCUAAUCAGCAGACAUGAGGUGUCCUUCAAUUGACUGCUUGCAUCCCGCCGCCCUUCACUGCCUUUCAUGCAAUCCAGCCCAAGCACCACAAUGACCUCCAGGCAUGAAGAAUAA